GGACAGAGGAGCCUGGCAGGCUACAUUCCAUGGACUCACAGAGUCAGACACGACUGAAGGGAUUUAGCGCAAGCCACUGGGGAAGCCCUAUUGCUCACUAUAGUAGGCUAAAAUAAAGAUUCCUCAGGAUGUUCAAGCCCUAAUCCUCGGAGGAACGUGUCAGUGCUACUUUGUAUGACAAAUGGGACUCUGCAAAUGUGAUCAAGAUGUCUAGAUGUCUCCAGGUGCGGCUGGCCUGUAUAAAGAGAGACUCUGCCAGAGGCCAAGAUAACCUGAGCAUUCUUUACUCGAGAAGGCCCAAGGGCAGAAAGGAGGACAGCGGUCUGUUGUUCUGAAGACACCACUAUGAGUUGGCAUCACGGGCAAAUGGCCAGUCUGUGGAAGUGGAUCUGCCUGGCCUAUCUUCUU
Long non-coding RNA from Bos taurus (domestic cattle), 408 nucleotides. Lineage: Eukaryota; Metazoa; Chordata; Mammalia; Artiodactyla; Bovidae. The record is from Ensembl.